ACGGGGCGCAGCAGGCGCGAAAACUCUACAAUGCAGGCAACGGCGAUAGGGGAACAUCGAGUGAUCCUCAUAUUGGNGGUCUGUCCACCCGCCUNAAAAGCGGGUGUUAGCAAGGGCCGGGCAAGACCGGUGCCAGCCGCCGCGGUAAUAACGGCGGC
This 158-nucleotide ribosomal RNA is filed under the name uncultured archaeon. RNAcentral describes it as "partial 16S ribosomal RNA". It matches the Rfam family "Archaeal small subunit ribosomal RNA", at positions 325 to 483 of the family's 1478-position model. The record is from RNAcentral.